RNAcentral lists this ribosomal RNA (2900 nucleotides) under Clostridioides difficile. RNAcentral describes it as "23S ribosomal RNA". It matches the Rfam family "Bacterial large subunit ribosomal RNA". Lineage: Bacteria; Bacillati; Bacillota; Clostridia; Peptostreptococcales; Peptostreptococcaceae. The record is from RNAcentral.
UGGUCAAGUUAUUAAGGGUGCAGGGCGGAUGCCUUGGCACUAGGAGCCGAUGAAGGACGUGAUAAGCUGCGAUAAGCUUCGGGGAGUUGCACGUAAACUUUGAUCCGAAGAUUUCCGAAUGAGGAAACUCACUUAGAGUAAUGUCUAAGUAUCAUUAAGUGAAUACAUAGCUUAAUGAGGGGAACUCAGGGAACUGAAACAUCUAAGUACCUGAAGGAAGAGAAAGAAAUUCGAUUCCGUAAGUAGCGGCGAGCGAACGCGGAUUAGCCCAAACUAAUAAAGUUUUCUUUAUUGGGGUUGCGGACAUAUCAUAACGAAGAGGUAUCGUAAUUGAAGAGGUUUGGAAAGACCCACCACAGAAGGUAAUAGUCCUGUAUGUUAAACGAGAAGACUUUAGAUAUGAUCCAGAGUACCACGGGACACGUGAAACCCUGUGGGAAGCAGGAGGGACCACCCUCCAAGGCUAAAUACUACCUAGUGACCGAUAGCGUAUAGUACCGUGAGGGAAAGGUGAAAAGAACCCCGGGAGGGGAGUGAAAUAGAACCUGAAACCCUGCACUUACAAGCUGUGGAAGCACAUUUCUUGUGUGACCGCGUACUUUUUGUAGAACGGGCCAACGAGUUACGUUAAGUAGCAAGGUUAAGCACUUAAGGUGCGGAGCCGUAGCGAAAGCGAGUUUUAACUGAGCGUUCAGUUACUUGACGUAGACCCGAAACCGGGCGACCUACCCAUGAGCAGGAUGAAGCGAAAGUAAAAUUUCGUGGAGGUCCGAACCCACGAGCGUUGAAAAGCUCGGGGAUGACUUGUGGGUAGCGGUGAAAUUCCAAUCGAGCCCGGAGAUAGCUGGUUCUCCCCGAAAUAGCUUUAGGGCUAGCCUCAAGGUGAGAGAUACGGAGGUAGAGCACUGAAUGUCCUAGGGGGUAUUGCACCUACCGAAGACUAUCAAACUCCGAAUGCCGUCAUCUUAUACUUGGGAGUCAGACUGUGGGUGAUAAGAUUCAUAGUCGAAAGGGCAACAGCCCAGAUCGUCAGCUAAGGUCCCUAAAUGUAAGUUAAGUGGUAAAGGAUGUGGGAUUGCACAGACAACCAGGAUGUUGGCUUAGAAGCAGCCACUCAUUCAAAGAGUGCGUAAUAGCUCACUGGUCGAGUGAUCCUGCGCCGAAGAUUUCCGGGGCUAAAACUUACUACCGAAGCUACGGCAUCAGUAAUGAUGGGUAGGGGAGCUUCCCAUACGGGUUGAAGCAUGACCGUAAGGACAUGUGGACAGUAUGGGAGUGAGAAUGUUGGCAUGAGUAGCGAGAUGUGGGUGAGAAUCCCACAGGCCGUAAACCCAAGGUUUCCAGGGGAAGGUUCGUCCGCCCUGGGUUAGUCGGGACCUAAGCUGAGGCCGAAAGGCGUAGGUGAUGGACAACAGGUUGAUAUUCCUGUACUACCGAUAACCGUUUGAGAGAAGGGAUGACACAGUAGGAUAAGCUAAGCACACUGUUGGUUAUGUGUGCCCAAGCAUUGAGGCAGUCAAAGUAGGCAAAUCCGCUUUGAUAAUGCUGGGAUGUGAUGGGGAGCGAAAUUUAGUAGCGAAGUAGCUGAUUUCACACUGUCAAGAAAAGUCUCUAUCGAGGUUAAAGGUACCCGUACCGCAAACCGACACAGGUGGGUGAGGAGAGUAUCCUAAGGCCAGCGAGAGAACUGUUGUUAAGGAACUCGGCAAAAUGACCCCGUAACUUAGGGAUAAGGGGUGCCACCAUCAGGUGGCCGCAGAGAAUAGGCCCAAGCGACUGUUUACCAAAAACAUAGGUUUCUGCUAAGUCGCAAGACGAUGUAUAGGAGCUGACGCCUGCCCGGUGCUGGAAGGUUAAGGGGAUCUGUUAGAGCAAUCGAAGCAGUGAACUUAAGCCCCAGUAAACGGCGGCCGUAACUAUAACGGUCCUAAGGUAGCGAAAUUCCUUGUCGGGUAAGUUCCGACCCGCACGAAAGGCGUAACGAUUUGGGCACUGUCUCAACAACAGACUCGGUGAAAUUGUAAUUCCGGUGAAGAUGCCGGAUACCUGCGACAGGACGGAAAGACCCCAUGGAGCUUUACUGUAGCUUGACAUUGGGUCUUGGUACUACAUGUACAGGAUAGGUGGGAGGCUUUGAAACCAGGACGCCAGUUUUGGCGGAGCCAUCCUUGGGAUACCACCCUUGUAGUACUGGGACUCUAACCAUAGGCCAUGAAUCUGGUCUUGGGACACUGUCAGGUGGGCAGUUUGACUGGGGCGGUCGCCUCCCAAAAGGUAACGGAGGCGCUCAAAGGUUCUCUCAGUACGGUCGGAAAUCGUACGUAGAGUGUAAAGGCAAAAGAGAGCUUGAUUGCAAGACAUACAGGUCGAGCAAGGAUGAAAAUCGGACUUAGUGAUCCGGUGGUUCUGCGUGGAAGGGCCAUCGCUCAACGGAUAAAAGCUACCCUGGGGAUAACAGGCUUAUCUCCCCCAAGAGUCCACAUCGACGGGGAGGUUUGGCACCUCGAUGUCGGCUCAUCACAUCCUGGGGCUGUAGUAGGUCCCAAGGGUUGGGCUGUUCGCCCAUUAAAGUGGUACGCGAGCUGGGUUCAGAACGUCGUGAGACAGUUCGGUCCCUAUCCGUCGCAGGCGUAGGAAAUUUGAGAAGACCUGUCCUUAGUACGAGAGGACCGGGAUGGACGUACCUCUGGUGUACCAGUUGUCCUGCCAAGGGCAUGGCUGGGUAGCUAUGUACGGAAUGGAUAAGCGCUGAAAGCAUCUAAGCGCGAAGCCAACUUCAAGAUAAGAUUUCCCACCGCAAGGGUAAGACCCCAGAAAGACUAUCUGGUUGAUAGGUCGAAGGUGUAAGUGCAGCAAUGUAUUUAGCUUAUCGAUACUAAUAGGUCGAGGACUUGACCAAU